AUACAGCAGUGAGCGGCAUUGAGACCAGGUGCAGUAGUUGUGUAUGAAUGGCAAACUUAAGAUUGCUCUGAAGACAGAUGCAAGAGUUUGGCAGCAGAGUAAGACCUGUGGCAGGAAGCCAGAGAAAUUAAUGACUAACAGCGGAUCACAAAGUCUCCCAGGUUGCCGUUGGUGGUGAUCUUGGCCUGCUGGAUGAUGUUGGGGCUGAAGGUGCAGAUGCAGCGCCGUUGCUCCUGCUGUUGCUCCUGCCGUUGCGGAGCGGCAGCACCUGCAAGUCUGUGAUUGUCGAG
Molecule: long non-coding RNA, 290 nt
Organism: Thunnus maccoyii (southern bluefin tuna)
Lineage: Eukaryota; Metazoa; Chordata; Actinopteri; Scombriformes; Scombridae
Exons: 3
Source: RefSeq, a predicted model, not a curated record